RNAcentral lists this ribosomal RNA (3073 nucleotides) under Pleurotus eryngii. RNAcentral's name for it is "eukaryotic LSU rRNA". It matches the Rfam family "Eukaryotic large subunit ribosomal RNA", at positions 1 to 3040 of the family's 3401-position model. The record is from RNAcentral. Lineage: Eukaryota; Fungi; Basidiomycota; Agaricomycetes; Agaricales; Pleurotaceae.
UUUUAUACCAUUGGUACUAUUCUUAGGACUCAUCUUUAGUAUAAGUAAUUGCAAGCCUGGUGGUCUUAAACCCCAGUCUUGUCAACUUUGCAAAUCUAGGGAUUCUCCUAUACUGCACUUGACCUAAGCUCACAUUUCUCUUGCUUCAUAAACUUGGAGAACAAAGUCUAAGAUCUCUAAGUCACUAAGUGUUGCUAAGACAUCCUAGACUUGUCACCUUGGAUCCUCAUUUAGUCAUCAGUGAUAUCAUCAUCAUGACUAUCUCAUUGACCCCUAUCUUCAUCAUCACUAGGAACAUUUACAUUGCCUAUUACAACCAUCUCAUUACCAGGAGUACUAUGUUGAACAAUCCCUAAGACCAUCCAAUAGGUCACUCUUAGCAAUUUGUGGAGUUCUGCUGUUGCAUGUAUCUUGUGCAAUUGAUAUGUGUUGUGGCAGGGUGAGGGGUAAUCACGAUAACCACAACAGUGUCUCAGGUUAGGACCUGAAAGAUGGUGAACUAUGCCUGAAUAGGGUGAAGCCAGAGGAAACUCUGGUGGAGGCUCAUAGCAAUUCUGAUGUGGAAAUGGAUUGUCAAAUUUGGGUAUAGGGGCAAAAGACUAAUCAAACCAUCUAGUAGCUGGUUCCUGCCAAAGUUUCCCUCAGGAUAGCAGAAGCUCAUGGCAUCAGAUUUAUGUGGUAAAGUGAAUGAUUAGAGGCCUUGGGGUCGAAAUGACCUUAACCUAUUCUCAAACUUUAAAUAUGUAAGACCAAGCUGUUGCUUGAUUGGAUGACUUGUGUGAUUGAGAGCUUCUAGUGGGCCAUUUUUGGUAAGCAGAACUGGUGAUGCAGGAUGAACCAAACAUGGGGUUAAGGUGCUGGAAUACAUGCUCAUCAGACACCACAAAAGGUGUUAGUUCAUCUAGACAGCAGGACAGUGGCCAUGGAAGUCAGAACCCACUAAGGAGUUGUAACAACUCACCUGCUGAAUGAACUAGCCCUGAAAAUGGAUGGUGCUCAAGUGUGUUACCCAUACCUCACCAUCAGCAUUGAAGUGAUGUGCUGAUGAGUAGGCAGGUGUGGAGGUCCAUGAAGAAACCUUGGUGGUGAUGCCAGGUGAAAUGGCCUCUAGUGCAGAUCUUGGUGGUAGUAGCAAAUAUUCAAGCAAGAACCUUGAAGACUGAAGUGGAGAAAGGUUCCAUGGUAACAGCAGUUGGACAUGGGUUAGUUGAUCCUAAGAGAUAGGGAAGCUCUGUUUCAAAGUGUGCAAUUCCUUUGCACUGCCUAUUGAAAGGGAAUCUGGUUAAGAUUUCUGGAACCAGGAUGUGGAUCUUUGAUGGCAACAUAAAUGAACUUGGAGACACUGGCAAGGGCCCAAGGAAGAGUUAUCUUCUCUCCUUAACCAUCUACCACCCUGAAAUUGGAUUGUCCAGAGCUAGAGUUCAAUGGCAGGUAGAGCUUGGCACCCUGAUGCUGAGUCCAGUGCAUCCUUGACAGCCCUUGAAAAUCCAAGGGAAUGAAUGACUUUCACACUCAUAACCACAGCAGGUCUCCAAGGUGAACAGCCUCUAGUUGAUAGAACAAUGUAGAUAAGGGAAGUCAGCAAAAUAGAUCUGUAACUUCAGGAAAAGGAUUGGCUCUAAGGGUUGGGUGUGUUGUAUGAGACCAGAGUCUGCAUAUAUCCCUGAAAGGGAGACUGGGUGCACUCAACUAAAGAUCACUCAAUAGAAGAGGAAAUCCAGCCAUAACUAGCUGGGGUCUAUUUGCUAUACUAGCAGACCCUAUAUACUAUACAGAAUGGCACACAGACCAGGUGCAGUACUCUAGGGCAAGACUAUGUAAAGUAUGAGCACAGUAAGCUAUGGUACCAUGCAGCUACCUCAUGGUAUGACCUCAUAGUCUAGACCAAAGGAAUGUAAGUAGAUAAGGAUUAGAUAUAGAUAAGAUCUAAUCUAAUCUAAUCUAAUCACAAUCAAAGGAAAACAAUAAAAGAAAAGAAAAGAAAAGAAAUAAAGAGGUAAAUGCACCAAAUAAUGGCACCUGACAUGUUGGGCCUUGGUCAGAAGCCUCAGGACCAGGCUGGGACAAUUCAUUGGUGACUUGGAUGGACCAGGCAGGGACCUGGGUGUGGAUGGCCUUGGCUUGCCCUUUGGGGCAUCCAGUGCACACUUAACAACCAACUUAGAACUGGUACAGACAAGGGGAAUCUGACUGUCUAAUUAAAACAUAGCAUUGUGAUGGCUGGGAAGUGGUGUUGACACAAUGUGAUUUCUGCCCAGUGCUCUGAAUGUCAAAGUGAAGAAAUUCAACCAAGUGCAGGUAAACAGUGGGAGUAACUAUGACUCUCUUAAGGUAGCCAAAUGCCUCAUCAUCUAAUUAGUGGAUAGAUUCCCACUGUCCCUAUCUACUAUCUAGUGAAACCACAGCCAAGGGAACAGGCUUGGCAGAAUCAGUGGGGAAAGAAGACCCUGUUGAGCUUGACUCUAUUUUGACAUUGUGAAAAGACAUAGAGGGUGUAGAAUAAGUGGGAGCUCUGGUGCUGUUGAAAUACCACUACCUUUAUUGUCUUUUUACUUAUUCAAUGAGGUGGAGCUGGGAUCAACUGGUCCCACCUUUUGGAUUUCAAGGUACUUUGUGUGCUGAUCCAGGUUGAAGACAUUGUCAGGCGGGGAGUUUGGCUGGGGUGGUACAUCUGUUAAAAGAUAAUGCAGGUGUCCUAUGGGAGACUCAUUGAGAACAGAAAUCUUGAGCAGAACAAAAGGGUAAAAGUCCUCUUGAUUUUGAUUUUCAGUGUGAAUACAAACCAUGAAAGUGUGGCCUAUCGAUCCUUUAGUCCCUCAGAAUUUGAGGCUAGAGGUGCCAUAAAAGUUACCACAGGGAUAACUGGCUUGUGGCAGCCAAGCAUUCAUAGUGACAUUGCUUUUUGAUCCUUUGAUGUUGGCUCUUCCUAUCAUACUGAAGCAGAAUUUGGUAAGCAUUGGAUUGUUCACCCACUAAUAGGGAACAUGAGCUGGGUUUAGACCAUUGUGAGACAGGUUAUUUUUACCCUACUGAUGGAGCAUUGUUGUAACAGUAAUUGAACUUAGUAUGAGAG